UCCGCCACUGACCGAAGACUUUCGUAAGGAGAUCCAGGCAGAAUACAGAAAAUUCGCCGAGCUGAACAAUAAGAUCGUCCAUAUGUAUGCCAAAGGAUAUGAAAUCUGCCGAAGUAAAGGCAAGAAAAAGCUCGGGCCGAGGUAGAUCCAUCUCUUCUAGACUCUUUAGAUGGUGACAAUGACAAGGAAGAAGCCUGAAGAUGACCUCUCUUUAUCUUUAGCUGUAGAACUUUCUGUAAAAAUUCUAACUUUUGUGAACAGUUAAUAUUAAUGAAAUAUCAACUUCAUGCAUUAUUACUUCUGGGUGAACAUUUCUUGUCAGUAAUUGAUCAUCAAUCAACUUAAAAACUGUACAAGUGCUUCUUAACUUAAACUGUUAGUCAAUAAUCAAGCAAAUGAUAUAACAGUUAAGAAAAAUAAUGAGAUAAUCUGAACUCAACACUUGAACAAAAUAAAGUAAUGCAUACUUAUCGUUACUGAAGUGUGAGAUAGGUCAUGUGUAAGGUGAAUUCGGCUGAUCUUCCUUGCACUAUCAAGAUCUUGUUUUCCACUCGGGGUAGAACAAGUAUAUAAGGACCUUUGUUUACCACUCGGGGUAGAACAAUUAUAUAGGAACCAAGAUAUAAGGACCAUGGAAUUUUUCUACCACACGGGGUCACAAAUUCAUAAGGACACUCCUGAUAAUAAGGCUGCCAUCGAAUGGCCAGCAAGUCCGACCAUACCUCCUUACUCCAGUGCAUUUUGUUUACCACUCGCGGUAAAUCAAAAUUAAGAGGAUCAUGGAAUUUGUCUACCACGCAGGGUAUAACAAAACCAUAAGGACACCCCUGCCGAAGAGGCUACCAUCGAAUGGUCAGCGAGUCCACUCCGUCCUCCUUACUUCGGUGACUAUUGAUUUACCGCCCUCGGUAAAAGCAAUAUAAAGGAACAUAGGAGUUGUCUACCACGAUGGGCAACAAAUAGAUAGGCUACCAUCGAAUGGCCAGCGAGUCCUACCAUACCUUACACCAUUGUGAACUUAGGACAAAUAGGAACAAGAUCAGUUGUGAAAAAAUGAGCAUGGAUGAGCCACCGAAGUCUUUCUGUGCUGAAUUUCCAGUUCUUUCAAGAAUAUCCCUGCCGAAGUAUUUUGUAGGCCAAUAACUUUGCAGCCAAAUGAUCGCCACAGAUGUCUUUGUGAACUUCCCGAAGAACAUACUCUGCUUCGGACGGAACUAAAUAUUUGAGCAAUGGUGACGGAAAAGGACCUUCGAAAAAGAUUCUCAUUAAUGAGAACAAAAUUGACACUCUUAUACUUGAUCUUCUUUAGCCGGCAUCUGAUCUGAAGGAAGGACGCUAUAUGCCAUCAAAGUUAUAAGCAUCCGUAGUAGCCAACUUCGAUAAUGCACCAGCAAUGGAAUUUUUAUUGUGAUCGACCCCUUGAUAGCCUGCUGUACUGAUGUCCAAAAUAGAAUAUCCAUCUGCAUGCAAUGUCCACGAGCUCUGCUUCUGCUGAAGUACUGCAACGGCUUUGUCGGACUCCUCAGCUGCUUUCCAUAUGAAGCUGCAACUUUAGAUGGAUUUCUCCGAAGACAAGUAUCCACAAGGCGGUGUGCCCUAAGUGGAUUCUCAAGAGUGCGACUUCUGGGUCUGCUUCAACCAUAAUCCCGAAGACCAAUAGGGCGGAAUACCCUUCUUCGAUCAAUCAGGAAAAUGGUUGUUGGGUCUUCAUUUACUCUGCUUCGACCAUAAUCCCGAAGACCAAUAGGGCGGAGUACCCUCUUCGGUCAAUCAAGAAAAUGGCUGUUGGGUCUUCAUCUACUCUGCUUCGACCAUAAUCCCGAAGACCAAUAGGGCGGAGUACCCUCUUCGGUCAAUCAAGAAAAUGGCUCUUUGGUCUUCUUUGGUCAUGAGGAUCACCUUGAGACAUGUCCUCAAAGUGUAUAGACUGCUUUCCAACUCACAGUUGUCCAUCUUUAGGCGUACCACAUCUUUCAGACUGGACAUAAUUUGAACGCUUUGUCCCUCAGCUUGGCAAUCCGAAGAAUCUGCACAACUAUAUCCUUACUCUGCUCAGCUACCUCCUCGCUCCGCACAGCUACAUCCUCGCUCCGCUCCAAGAGAACCUCCAAAGCUCUAUCUACUUCGUCCACCAUUUUCACCAGCCUGACCACUUCGGUGCCUAGUUCUAGGAGGGGUGCCUUUUACUUGCCCUCGGCCAUGAUCAUGCUCUUUGUCAGCAGCAAAGACCAACCAUCUUCGGGCUUCGCCGUGGGCUCUCGAACGAGAACCCCCUGAUUUGUGCCAUAACUUCCGAUGUAGAACAACUGGAAAUAUUGUGAUUGAUAACUCAAGAACACUAGAAAACAGCCCUCCUUCUAGCGCCAAUGUUAACGCCAAGAUCUGCUGCCACGUCCCAAUCACGUAAGACGUCCUGAUCCUGCACAGUAAACACGAUAAGACACCAAAAGCUUGACGGCUUCGACCGUCGAGGGAUAGCUCAGGCGUGAGAGUCAGUAUACGUGUUCACAAAGUUAACACUGGAGGAUGUAAUGUCUAGUGUAUUGAGAGAGAGAGAUAGAUAUUCUCAGUUGUGUGUAUGUGAAUAUGAAUGUGAACGUACCUUUUGCUUGAAGACUUCCUUGCUAUGAUAUACUACAGGACCUGGUUUACCGUGCCACUGACUCUCCUGACACCUGUUAAUCCCAUCCCCUCUGUCCAUCGCUGGCCAACUGUCCAAUCCUUAUUAAUGCCAUGUAAGAUAUCAGUCGGCCAUUAUCUUUGCCAUCAUCACCGGUUCAGAACUCAAGUGAAGAUAUUUAAAUAUAUGAUGGGUCGACCCACUGAUUUGGUCCGAUACUAGAAAGACUUAACAAAGAUAAUAAAGUGACUAGGCUCAAUAAUGUCAACAUCCAAUAAUAAAGACCCAAUAAACUAACUGAAUAAGUAGGUUCAAUCUAUUCGACCCAAUAAGAAAAAUAUCACGAUCCAACACUAUCAAUCAAAGAUAUGCAAAAUCCGACAACCUGGUUUAUAGAAAUUAAAAAAAUAAACAAAAGUUUCGAGAAACUAAGUAAGUUGGCAUGCCUCGACAUGCUCUUCACCUCAAGCAAAACAAGUAUGCAAAAACAAAAAGAAAGAGAUGAUAUAAAAUACUAGUAUUUAAGUAUUUAUUUUCCAAUACUUGUUAUCCUAAUCUUCUUUGAGAUGACGGAGAGAUAAAAGGUGUAAAAAAGAAAGCACUUAUUAUAUAUAUUCAACCACUAAAUGUCCUCACCUAGGAAAGCGUGCUUAAUUGCCUAGCUUACUAGCUUGUCUGCACAAUUUUUUCUUUUUAAGAUUUCAUUCCACCAUCCGUACAUCGCGGAUAGCUGCCGUGUGUCCAUACUAUUUACAAGCAAUAUAUAUAUAUAUAUAUAUAUAUAUAUAUAUAUAUAUAUAUAUAUAUAUAAAGUAGACGAAAAAUAAAUUGAUCAUAAUCACUUAUAUCUAAGGCGGCGGUUCAAACCGUUGUUAUGGUCUUAUUCGUCUUUGAUUCUUUUUUAAGUUCGUUGGAAAUAAAUUUUAUAUUAAUCGGAUCCUGUAUAUAUAUAUAUAUACACACAUGUGCAAAAAAACUUAAUUAACAUGAUAUUGUCGACCUAUUUAUAACAUAAAAUUUAUUUAUAUUCAAUAUUAAAUCUCUUAUUUUAUAUCGUAUUUAUGUCAGGUUACUGUGUUGUGUCAAAAUUAAUUAACACCCCUACAUGCAAGUGUUUCAAAGAAAUUAUUGUUAAAAUAAACACGUAAUAUAUAUUAUUAAAAAUAAAAUUAAUAUUUUUACAAGUAUAAAUAUUAAUUUCACGAGCAGAAAAUACUUUGUGAAACUAUUAUUUUUAAACGUGAAAAUAUGAAUUCCAUUAAAACAUUUAUCGCAAAAUUAACGGAAUUCUAUGCCUCUUGUUGUCACCAAAGCAAUUGCUCUCCAAAUCAUCAAUUCGAACACCACCUGUUCAUUCUGACGUAUGAUUAAUAGUACUACUACUAAGAUUGUAAACGAAUCGAGUCGAUCCGAGUAUUUAGUUGCUCAGAUUUGGUUCAUAAAAUUUAUCCAGUAUAAAAUAAGAUUUGAUUGAGGCUCAUUUAGCUACCGAGUCGAACACAAUUCCGAAUCGAGCCCGAGCAGUUUGGAUUUUUUUAACGAAUAUGAUCCGAGUAUCAAUAAUAAAUUAUAAUUUGAAGAGGUUCGAGUAAUUUAUCGAACUUUAAAUGUGCUCAUAUUUGACUCAUUUAUAUUUCGAGUCGAGUUCGAAUCGAACUUUUAGUCGAACAAGUACAAAUCGAGUCCAAACUAUUUGCUCAUUUUAUAACCUUAACUACUACUGCCCAAAAUGGCAUCCAAUUUUUUUUUAAUUUAUUAAGAUACGAUGGUGAUUACCCACAAUCUAUCCCCCGUAAGAAGCAAGCAAGUAAACACAUGCUUAAACCUCAUUGGCCUUGUAGUGGUUAUCAAGCUUAAAAAAUAGGCCACCCACUUGAUCUUUUUUAAUUCCAAAUAUUAGAAAAUAAUUUAGGCUCUUUAUUGUUUAGUGUCUAGAUGCAUAAGCCCUAUGUUAUACGUGGCACUUGUCCAUCAAUUCCCUAUUCCUCUUUGGGCUCACUUUCUUAUGAGAACAUGUCACCCGAUCCCUUGGCAAUUUUUUAGAGUUCCUCAAAUGCCCUUGUAUACACAAGUGAAUUAAAGUCUUAUAUCAAAAAUAAAAAUAUACGCACAAAUAUAUUUUGAUGAUCCAUAUAUUAUCUAAUGAUCAGUGAUAUUUUAUGUGUCAAGUUAGAUCUCAAACAUGUUUACUUAAAAUCUUUUACAUGUACGCAUGCAUCAUACAAAAUUAGGAUCUUCUUUUAUUUUAAAUAAAAUGAAAAUUCUUUAUUUCACGAUAAAAAUUUAAAAUAUAUUAAAAUGUGACAUCAUGAUAAUGGGAGGAACGAAUAACAACUUUAAGGAUAAUUUAGUGAUUUACCUACAUGUAGUUCAUAUGAAGAAGGGUUGGUCAUGAUUUCAUAAUAUAUUGUGAUGAUUAAAAAAGGACAAAGAAAUUGACUGAUGGAAUGAAGCAAGUGAUGUUAUGAGCUGAUAUAAAUAUGUGACGAACACUAAACACUUGAUCAUGUCACAGAAUUUUUGGGACAAGCUUACCUACUAGCUAAGGUAGCUUCUUCUUCUUUCCAUUUUUUUUUUCUUCUUAUAGCUUAUAUGUCUUGGGGUGGAGUGAUGGCAGACCAUUUGGGUUGGGGAAUCAUAGAAGAAGGGUGGAGGAAAGGCCCUUGGACCGCUGAAGAAGAUAGGUUGCUCAUUGAGUAUGUCAAGUUGCAUGGUGAAGGAAAAUGGAACUCCGUCGCUCGCCUUCAAGGUUUAUAUAAUUUUUUGUUUGUUAUUAUUUUUAUGAAAUUAAAUCUUCAUAUAUACACUAAAUUUUGUAGCAACGUACUGAUCAGUUAGUUCUAGCUCAUAUACUACUAUAUAUAUAAAUAUAUGAUUUUAAUUGUUAAUUUUUUGGUUGUAUAGGUUUGAAAAGGAAUGGGAAAAGCUGCAGAUUAAGGUGGGUGAAUUACUUGAGGCCAGACCUCAAGAGGGGACAAAUAACCCCACAUGAAGAGAGCAUUAUUCUAGAGCUACAUGCUAGGUGGGGAAACAGGUAAUAUAUACUUCAUUCAAUCCAUGUCAACUAACUAUUUAUACAUGAACUCUUUUUUUCCCUCAAUUAACUUUCAAAUUAUAUAUAGAAUUAAUCCAUAUAACUUACUUUUAAUUCAGAUGGUCUACAAUUGCAAGAAGUUUACCAGGAAGAACAGAUAAUGAAAUCAAGAACUACUGGAGAACCCACUUCAAGAAAAAGGCAAAAACCCCUCCAACUGACAUGACUGCAAAGUCAAAAGCACGCGUGCUAAGAAGGCAACAAUUUCAGCAACAGCAGCAGCAAAAUCAAGUGGACAUGAAAAAGAAGAUGAUCGACGAAACGGACAUUAACAAUAUUAGAGUGCCAAUUCUGCCCCAUCAUCAAUAUCAUCAUCAUCAAGUCAUGAUGAAGCAACAAGACAUGGCUAGUCCUAAUAAUUAUAGUACUACCGCUGAUCAAGAACAACAAGCAGGGUGUUUUUGUACCAUAUUCAAUGGGUAUGCAGCAGUACUGCCUGAGGCCACGUCGUCGUCGAAUGAGGACUUCUUGUGGGAUGGACUGUGGAACUUAGACGACGAUGUUCACGGCAAUUUUAGCCCGGUUUCUGCAGCAACUAGAGCUACCCUGCAGAGUUUAGCCACUCCCUGCAGCUUCUUUUGAUUCUUAAAGCUGUACUAUUAUAUAUAUAUAUAUAUAUGUAUGUAGUAUUAGUUCUAGUAAAAUGGAACCAAAAAGAAAGAGGUUCCUAGCUACCUGCCUACCUAAUAAAAAGCAUAAAAUCAUGUACGUUGUUAUGAAUUUACAUAAUUUUCGGCUGUGAGCGAGCUAGUGCCAAUCCCCGGCGCCUAGAGUACUUACUACUGGUAAGUGUGCCUAAUAAUUCUUCUACCAUGUAUCCUCAUGAAAUACUGCAUCAAUGCUGGUUGAUCAAUGAGCCCAUCUACUGAGUUGUAUAACAUUUCGUCGAGUCUCUAUUAAUUUUUUAACCAUCCAAUUAUAAUUCACUGGAAUUUUCAUCUCAUUCUCCAUACAAUAUUUGUGUUAUUUUUUUUUUACUUGGUAGUAGUUAUAACCCCAAUUUAUUUAGACUGAUGUAUUGUGAUUUUUAGGUGAGAUUAUUCCUUCCUUUAUGUGACUGAGAGUUUUUUUUUGGUUUAGUGAAAUUUGGUUGAUUCUUAAUAUUAGUAAUGUUGUUCUUGAUUAUAAAAUUAAAGUAUAUUUCGAGUUUAAAUUUAAAAAAAAAAUCAAAAACAUUUGAGUCAUGCAAAAUGGUUGCUUUAGGGUGAAAUAGUAUUCUACUUUACUUUUUUUCCAUGCACCAAUCAAAUUUUUACACACACAAGACUUGUGCGUGCAUACUGCCUAAAACUUUUGACGAAGGGUAACAAUAAUAUGGUAAACUGUUGAUACAAACAUGUGCAAUUUUACUUUUUAUAUACAGUAUUUUAAUUAUAAUGAUAUUGCAAUCCUAUGAUACAAGUGAAUAUUAUUAUAAUUGUAUAUGUAGAAAUAUUUUAAUACUCCCUCGAUCCCUUUCAAAAACAGUCCCUGUGAUUUUAUUUUUUCCUGUUAAUUAUAAAAUCUUAAAAUUUAAAAUCAAUAAAAAAAUUUAAUUUAAUUAAUGUGAUUAUGGAGUACAAAAUUGUUAAAAUAUACAUACUAAAUCAAAUAAACACAUACCUCGUUAAUUUAAAUUAUGCGUUUUGCAUAAAUUCUAAAUAAAUUAUGUAAUUUUUUGCACACUUGUGUCAUUUCAUUAUUUUUUUUUGAGAAUUUAAUUCUAAGAUGUGAAGAAAUGAGUUUGAGUUUUAAAAAAUUAAUAAUAUAAAAUUAUCAAAAAUAAAAUAAAAAAUUGGAUCUCCAGACCAGUUCCUAGUUCCUGAAUAAACAAGCAGACCCUGAAAACGUUCACCGAAACACAACUAUUCAAAAUUAAUGAUCAUCUUCUCUGCGCUCAGAGCCUUCACAUUUACCCAUAUUACCUCACGUUAUUACGCUUCUGCCACUGUACUGGACCCAUCACUCUCUCUUCUUCAACUUCUUCAACUCUCAGUCCACCAUCGAUCACUGAAACUAACACAGCAGUCCCAUGCUCGAGUCUGUUAUCUUGGGCUCAGUCAACACUCUGUCACUGUAACAAAACUCGUCUCUGCAUAUUCCGUCAGUAAAAACCCGGUCGAGUCACGACUCGUUUUCAACUCAGUUCGAGUUAAGAAUGUAUUUCUAUGGAACACAUUGAUCAAUGGGUAUGCAAAGAAUUGUUUGUAUAAUGAAAGUUUUGAACUUUUCAACGAAAUGUGCAGAAUUGAGGACUCGCCGGACGAUUUCACGCUUUCGACUCUGGCGAAAGUCUCCGGCGACAUUAAGGACUUACUCACCGGGAAAUCGAUUCAUGGGAAGAGUAUACGAAUUGGGUUUGUUUCAGAUACUAUACUUGCCAAUUCACUAAUGUUUGUGUACUGUAAAUGUGAGAGUUUUGUUGAUUCUCGUAGGUUGUUUGAUGAAAUGCCGCAAAGAAAUGUUUCUUCUUGGAAUGUUAUGAUAGGGGGAUUUACUGUUUUGGGGAAUUCUGGUAUUAAUGAUGAAAUUUGGGACUUUGUUAAGUAUAUGCAAAUGGAAGGGUUGGAAUUUGAUGGGUUUACAGUAUCAAGUCUUCUUCCUUUAUGUGGGAGCAAAUUUGGGAAUUGUGAUUAUGGAAGGGAGCUACAUUGUUAUAUAGUGAAGAAUGAAAUGGAAAUGGGUAUGGGGUCUGAUGUUCAUUUAGGAUGUUGUUUGAUAAAUAUGUAUUCAAAAAGUAAUAGAAUUAAUGUGGGUCGACAGGUUUUUAAUCGAAUGAAGUGUAGAAAUGUGUUUGCCUGGACAGCAAUGAUGAAUGGUUAUGUACAGAAUGGAGCUUUUGAUGAAGCUAUGUUUAUAUUUCGUGAAAUGCAGAGGGGAGGUGGAAUAGAACCCAAUAUGGUUUCCCUUGUGACUAUUCUUCCUGCUUGUAGCUCACUUGCUAGUCUUUUGGGUGGGAAACAAGUUCAUGGAUUUGCUGUUAGAAAGGAAUUGAAUCAUGAAGUUUCUUUAUGCAAUACUCUAAUUGAUAUGUAUUCCAAGUGUGGGAGCUUGAACUAUGCAAGACGAGUCUUUGAUUUCCAUUGUCUUUGUAAAGAUGCAAUCUCUUGGAGUUCGAUGAUUUUUGGGUAUGGAUUACAUGGAAAGGGUCAGGAAUCUAUUAUAUUGUAUGAGAAGAUGCUUCAAAGUGGGAUCAAACCGGACUUGAUUACAGUUGUUGGGGUUCUUUCUGCUUGUGCUAGGUCAGAAAUGGUGAAAGAAGGCCUUAAUAUUUAUUAUACAGCCGUUAAUGAUUAUGGAGUUAAACCAACGUUGGAGAUCUGUGCAUGCAUGGUUGAUAUGCUUGGUCGAUCUGGCCAGCUUGACAAAGCAUUGGAUUUUAUCAAGACCAUGCCUGUAGAACCUGGUCCUAGUAUUUGGGGGGCACUUGUUAGUGCUUCUGUACUUCAUGACAAUUCUUACAUGCGAGAUUUGGCUUACAAGUUCCUUAUUCAGAUAGAACCUGCAAACCCCUCAAACUAUGUCUCACUUUCGAAUUUGUAUGCUUCUUCACGGAGGUGGGACGCUGUUGCUGAAGUGAGAAGAAUGAUGAGAGAAAGAGGAUUGAAGAAGUUGCCUGGGUGUAGUUGGAUUAGCAUUAAUAGUGAAACUCACAGUUUCUAUGUUGCUGACAAAGCUCAUCCCAGCUCUCAUAUGAUUUAUGAGAUGCUGGAUGAAAUCAUUUUAGUAAUGAAGGGAGCUGGCUAUUCUUCAGAGUUUGAGAAUUUUACACAGAUAUGUUAAAAUCCAACGGCCAUCAAGCUAUUUUGCACAAGCAGGAUAGGUUUAAAUGUUUAGCUGAGGUAUCUGGUGUGGCAAAAACUGGAGCUCUCUGAUGGUUAAAGUUCGGACUCAUUGGCUUGUUUGAAGCCUAAACUGCAUGCCUUAAUUGUCUUGGCUCAAUUUGUAGUGAUAUGAUGAGCAUAUAUAAUAAAUAUAGCAACUAUAAUACUAAUUACAAGAUUUAUCAUCUAAAAUUUAAAAUAUUUCAAUUUCACUUUUAAAAAAUUGAUAAUAAUCUUAUACUCCCCCCUUGUUCCACAAAAAAAUUAUAAUUUAUUUAAUUAUUAAACCUUCAAAUACAAUAAAUAAAAUAUUAGUAUUAUGUUACGGACAUACGGUCCAUUAAGCAACUCUACUGUCCAAAUAAGUCAACUAGCAAAAAAGUGGAAUUGUUUGAUUUAAGUGAGUUUGUUAACAAGUUUUUGGUACUCCAUUAUCUGAUUGAAUCAUAAGUAUCCUAUUUAUUACAUGGGGGAGGGGAGAGAGAUUAUGGUGGGGGUGAGAAACAAAAGGGAAAGGAAAAAGAAAAUUCGUAUUUUAUAAACGAUGAAAAACUAACAAUACAAAGAAUUGAAAAUUUCAAAUGAUAAUUUUUUUCAAAUAUAAUAUUCCCUCCGUUCCAAGAUAAAAGUAUUUAUUACUAUUUUGGGUAGUCCCAUGUUAAAUGUCCACUUUCUUUUAAUAACCAAACUUUUAUAUAUUUUUUUUUCUAUUUUAUCCUUAGCAUUAAAUAUCUCAUACUUUUGUUAUUCUAAUUCUCUCUCCAUAUUUAAUAAGUAUAAUUAGUUAUGUGUUGAAAAUAUAUUUUAAACUCGAUAAAUUAUAAACUCAGUACCUAAACGAGCGCCAAUCAAACUAUAUUUUAAACUCGAUAAAUUUUAUUAACCAAAUCUAAGCAACUCAAUACUCGACUCGAUUCGGUUUAUUUACACUCCUAAAUUUAUGGGAUAAAAUAUUAAUUUUGAGUCCUUUUUUCCCCCAAAAAAUAUAUGAUUUCAUUUGUAUUUAUUUGAGAUUGUCAUUAUCUUUCCACAAGUGAAGUCUAUACUUUUUGGCUCCAUAUCUAUUUGGUGCAUUGAGGAGAUUUCCAUGGUUUAAACUUGAAAAAUUAAACAAGUGAGUAAACCCCUUACCCCUUGAUUAGGUCAACCGGCUAAUGAAGUCUAAUGUUCCCACUGUAAACAAAAGUUAUUUAAUUCCUCGUCAUUUCCUCGUACUAAACUAAAGUGGUACAGUACUAUGAAAUGUAUUUUGCACUUCAAUGUUAUACUCAUGUGCCUCUAGAUGCCGUCAUGCCUUUCGAGAAAAAAUUGUUGUUUCAUUUUGUUAUCUCAAAGAUUCGUUCACGCAUUCAAUUAUUAAUAACGCGACAAAUCUUAUAUCGUAACAAAAUUACACAUAAAAAUUUGACAGUUUGAAUCGUUGAGAGAUAACUCUGGUGUGAGAAUAAAUAUAAAUUAAAAACAAGUUAAUAAUUGGGGCUUAAUAAUUAGUAAUGUUGUACGUGUGAAUUAAGGUAUAACCCACACCUCCUUCAAAGCGAUGUCCCUAAAUUGGAAUAGAAUUUCUCAACAUGGAAGCUAUUAUAGUGGGAUAAAAGAAAACUUCCUUAAAAAAAGAAAAUCAAAUAUAAUCCUAACUCUUUCUUUAAGAAUUAGAUUAUAUUCUUAUAUGAGAAAUAUUCCUCCACGUGACUUAUGAUCCAUCGACUCAUCCGGAUUUAAUCCAUCAUGCCCCAACACCUUUUAAUUACGGAUCCGGCUAUGGUGAAGUUGAAAAUCAACUUCACCAUAGUGAGUUGUAUAGUUUUACUGUAAUGUGUUACUAAGUACUGCAAGACAAUAUAACUCACACUAUGAUGAAGUUGAUUUUCAACUUCACCAUAGCCGAACCCUUUAAUUACCAUUAUGAUAAAGCAAGAGUGUACAUUUCAAAGUAAUCAUGCUCCUAGCAGAGAUGAUGAUUAUAAUUUAUAAUGAAUUAUUUAAUACUCUAUCCGUAUUAUGACGUUUUAGGUAAUUUUAUUUGUUCUAAUGGGAAAAUGGGGAGUAGAAAAUAAGUAUGGUAAUAAAUGAAAUUUUAAGGGGUAUUAUAGACAAUUAAUACUAUAUUUAAUAUUUUUCAAUUAAUACUAUAUAUUAUGGGAGGGAUGAAGUAUAUAAAUAGAAAAUAAUUUUGCAUACCUUUCUUUGGUCAAUUUAUUACGCACAAUAAUGUAAAUUAUUUCAAACCUUUCAAAAAUUACCUAAAAUAUUAUAUGUAUAAUUUAAUAUAAUAUGUUGUUGAAGGCUAGGAUUUAGAGAGAGCUCUUGUUUGUAGUGGUCUGAUAUUAACACCAUAGACUUAGGAAAUCAACAAAGCAUACAUUUAAUGGUAGAUGAUUCCUCUAAAUAUCAGAUGAAUCCUACCAAUUUGGCCUACUUCUCUCUCUCAGCGUCAGCGACCAAAUAAAGGAAAUUGAAUAGAUUUUUCCUUAAUUUUAAUUUUUUACAGUAUUUGGUAGAAUAAUUCGUACAUACUUAUGUUAAUAUGUUGACACUUGUCUAUUUCAGGCGACUAAUUGGUCGGAAACGGCAAAAAGGAGCAACAUUGUAUUUUAAAAUUUAUGGAGGUGUUGAUUGCUUAUUCGCAAACAUGUUGGUUAAAAACGAAGAAGUUGAUAACUUUGGGGUAAUUUUUGUCAUUUGCCCAAAGGAGAUGAAAAGCCAAACAAACUAUCUAUAAAACGGGAUCCAAUUAAAACUUAGACCUCCCAAAUCCCUUCUCUCGUCUCAGUGUUUUACUCUUUCAAGUAAAACAGCCAGCCAUGGCGACAACCAGCUGCUCCGCCGAUCAAUUGGCGCAGUUCUUCGGCGAAAACACCACCAACCCCACCGCCGCCGCCACCUUAAUCUGCGACCAGUUCGCCGCCAUCUCCAACCGGUUCACCGAUACCGGCUACGCCAUCGAUUCGACUUACCUCCUCUUUUCCGCCUACCUCGUCUUUUCCAUGCAGCUCGGCUUCGCCAUGCUCUGCGCCGGCUCUGUCCGCGCCAAAAACACCAUGAACAUCAUGCUCACCAACGUCCUCGAUGCCGCCGCCGGCGGCCUCUUCUAUUAUCUUUUUGGCUUCGCCUUUGCCUUCGGCGUCCCCUCAAACUCCUUUAUCGGCCGCCAUUUCUUUGGCCUGAAUGACCUCCCCACCUCUAGUUUCGAUUACAGAAAUUUCCUCUACCAAUGUCAGAAUCUUUCUCCACGUCCUAAUUACGUAAGACGUCCUGAUCCUGCACAGUAAACACAGUCAACACCAAAAGUUUGACGGCUAAGACCGUCAGGGGAUAGCUCCGGCGUGAGAGUCAGUACAGGCGAUCACAAGGUUAACAAUGGAGGAAUAAAUAUCUAGUGACUUGAGAGCAAUAAUUUAUGAGUUACCUUUCACCGUAUGUCAUCCUUGCUUUAUAUCCCCAAAGUCCGGUUUGUCCUGUAUGUAACUGACUUUUUGGGCCCACAGCUUUCAGCUGACUAAGCCCUGUUCAAUCCUCAUUAAAUGCAAUGCAGAGAUGACAGUCAAAGUUCUAUCCCCAAUCUACACCGGUCAAAGCCCAAGUGGAACCAUACUCAUCUAGUAAUUCGGCCCACUGCAUCCGGACCAAUAGGGCAAGAAUAAUCAUAACCCCAGGGAGGAGCCCAUUAAGUCUGGCCCAAUAAGGAAAAGGAUCAUGGCCCAACAUUGCCCCCCAGUCUUUUAUUAAACAGGAGGUUUAAUGAAAGAGUAUAAGUGGAAUCGGUCCAGAAUAAAAGGAAUUAUAAUGAGAUCAACAAAGGCCCAAGAUACAACUUACCGAGGCCCAAAAGAGAAGCCCACUCCGGUAAACAAUAAAGACUAAAACCGCACGCUACUUCUUUAACUUCACAAUCACCGUUGGCAUUAAAUGAGCCACCCCUGAACCUUAUGAAAAGUUGAAGAGAACUCUAGUAUAAAAGCUGCUUUCUCCCAAAUCUGACAGUUUUACCAACUCAAUUCGAAAUUCGGAUAUUCCUUACUCCUCUUCUUCUCCAAAUUUCUCUCUGCAAACUUCAGAAGUAUUUCAACGGAACGAGUGAGAGAAAUGGCGAGCCUUCUAGAUAAGAUUCACAUUAAGGAAGGGAGCUUCGAACUUCUGAGUAAACAAACAUGAUUGUAUAACCAUAACUGUAAGUCUCGAACCCACUCUAUUGUUUAAAUCCCAAUUUCCAUCAGUAGUUCUCACAAACAAUUGUUCUUUAUCUGUUGCAGUGUCUCUGAUCAAACCAAUGUCAAUCGACCGAAGGGAUCUAGACAGAUUUUUUUCUGGUACAUCCUUGCCAACCUCUACCGAUGUACCAACUGAAGAGCUUCAAGCCACCGAAUCAACUCCUAUUGAAGGGACAAGCCAACCUCGCCGAAGAAAGUAAGCUGGCCAAAAACCCAAACACACCCCUACGCAAAAUCACACCGAGUGCCUCCUCGGUAUGCCCUCUGACGAACGGACCCGAAUCUUUUGCGUCAAAAAGAGGAAAAUCCAAGCAAAUUCUCCGGCCUCCGAAGGACCACAAGUACCUCUAACAGAAACCGAUCCUCCGCCAACCUCCCUGGUUGAAAUCGUUGUUUCUGAUGAAGAGCCCGAAGAGAUCACCCAAACUUGCUCGAAAAAGACAACCAACCUCCUCAGACUUCAGGCCCGAAGAGAACUUCCCAUUUGAGCUCUACGACUCCUUCGUCCAUAAUACCGACAACCACCAGUUCAGCAAUAGCUCUAUCAUGGACCUGAUUAAUUUUGAACUGAUAGACUAACACUGAUCAUCCGCAGGCAAGCACUGUCUUCGGAUGCCUCCGCCCCAAAUACCAAGAGGCCGAAGCCGAAGAGAAAGCUGCUCGAAGAGAGAAUACCCUACUAAAGUCUGCUCUGACGAAACAUAGAAGUAGUCUCAAAGUUGCUUUUCACGAUAAUGAGUGCCUUCAGAAAGACCUUGCCCAAACCAAAGAAGAUUUGAAAACGACCCUGGCCACUCACCAAGUCAUCACUGAUAUAAAUAUUGAUCUGUCAAGCUAAAGAAUCAAAGCAUCCGGUAUAUCGUCAGAAGUUCGAAGAAGAGCUCAAAGAGCUUCGGGCCCUUAAGAAUUUGAGUCCGCCAUUGACCGAAGAAUUUCGUAAGGAUAUCCAGGCAGAAUACAGAAAAUCCGCCGAGCUGAACAAUAAGAUCGUCCAUAUGUAUACGAAAGGAUAUGAAAUAUGUCGAAGUAAAGGCAAGAAAAAGCUUGGGCCAAGGUAGAUCCAUCUCUUCUAGACUCUUUAGAUGGUGACGAUGACAAGGAAGAAGCCUGAAGAUGACCUCUCCUUAUCUCUAGUUGUAGAACUUUCUGUGAAAAUUCUAACUUUAUGUAAACAGUUAAUAUUUAAUGAAAUAUCAACUUCAUGCCUUAUUACUUCUGUG
Molecule: long non-coding RNA, 14948 nt
Filed under: Panax ginseng (ginseng)
Lineage: Eukaryota; Viridiplantae; Streptophyta; Magnoliopsida; Apiales; Araliaceae
Description: long non-coding RNA (PGIN_LNC017751)
Source: RNAcentral